Long non-coding RNA from Zophobas morio, 2228 nucleotides. RefSeq lists it as uncharacterized. The record is from RefSeq and is a predicted model, not a curated record. The transcript is spliced from 3 exons. Lineage: Eukaryota; Metazoa; Arthropoda; Insecta; Coleoptera; Tenebrionidae.
AAUAUAACGCUCCGCAUUUAGAAAUGUGAAUGUUUUAAAAAGCCUAAAAAUUAAUGCAUGGUGAUAGAAUGAGAGGAGGGAAGAUAUAGACAUAUAGAAUUUAUGUAACUAUAUAGAAGAUAUUUUUUAUUUUAUAGUUUGAUAAAGCACCUGAUACUUUAUUGUCUUCACAAGUCUUUUACCCUUAACCUGUAUUUGUAGUUGCCUAUCCAUGUUCCUGUGGAUUUAAUAUGGCAUAGCACGAGGGUAUUUCGGUAUUUGUAGGUUAGCACAAAAAAUUAUCAAAAAAUGAACUUCUCUUAAACAUUUUGGUGUUUUUAUGUUAAAUAGUUAUUAAUUAGAAUAUUAGUAGGCAAACUGAACUGUUGCUCAAGGACUCCGAAACGUUUUCACAUGAAAAAUUUUCCUUGGAACAUAGAUUAUUUUUACGUAUGGCAUUUUUGUGCUUUAACCGUUUUUAAUAGAAUAUUAAUAAGUAAAUUAGAAUGAUUACUAUGAAAGAUCCAAAAGCGUUUCCAAUUGUGACUUUUUCGUUGAGAAAUCGAUUAUUUCUACGUAUUGUUAACCAUUUUGAACGACGUAUUUCAUUGAGCUACCCUUUUGACUGUGAGACAGCCCAUAUUGAAAAUUAUUACUGUAUUUAUUGCAAUUUCCAAACAGAAUUGAAACUACUUUUCAAGCAGCAUGUAGAAGAGUGUCAUAUUGAUAAAAUAAAUAGCAGUGAUUUAUUAAUUGGAAAACAUUCUAUUCAAACAUAUAUUUGUGAAAAAUGUAGCUUUGAAACAAAUUUUGUGAUAAAGUGGUGUCAACAUACUACACAGUGUGAAGAAAAGGAAAAAAAUCGUCAAAUGUACAAAUGUGAUGAGUCUGAGUCUUUAAAGCAUCAUAAAAUUACAAAUCACCAUAAUGAUGAUGAAAUACAAUGGUACCACUGUAACAGCUGCUCAUACCAAGGUAAAUCCAAAAACUUAUUAAGAGAACACAUAAAGUUACGCCAUCAGAGAGUUAUUAAAUGGUAUGAAUGCAAGAAAUGUGCAUACAAAGUUGAAAGUUUACAAAAUUUAAAUAUUCACAUAGCAAUGCAUAAUUCCGAUAAGCAGGAUAUUACAUGGUAUGAAUGUAAAGAAUGUUCAUAUAAAUCUAAACGCAAAAAGUAUUUAUCAGAUCACAUGAAAAAGCAUGACGUAAAUGAACAGAAUGUUAAAUGGUAUGAAUGUGAAAAGUGUCCAUUUAAAGCCAAAUUCCCAACUUCUUUAAAAUUGCACAUGAAUUUGCAGCAUGUUGACGAGGAAAAUGUUGAACGGUAUCAAUGUGAUAAGUGCCCUUUUAAAACUCACUACAAACCAUGCUUAACCAUUCACACAAAGCGAGCCCAUUUAAAUAACAAAACUCAAAAUAUUCAAAAAGUCAGAAAUUUGCAUAGAUGUGAAAAGUGUCCAUUGUUAACUUUUAACAACAGAAGCUCUUUAAAAAGUCAUAUCAAUUCGCAACAUAUGCAUAAAAAGAUUAUUAGAUGUGAAAAGUGCCCAUUCGAAACUAGACGUCCAAAUUCUUUACAGUUGCACAUAAUUUUGCAGCAUAGUGAUGACUUAUGAUGAAUGAUACGAAUGUUUCAUACGUCACACAAAUGAACCCCAUUUAGAUAAACCAGACACUAAGCGGCGUUAAUGUCAUGAAUAUACAUACAAAUUCAAACUCAUUCAUCAAAACUCAUUAAAAGACUACACUUUAUUGGGAAGGACAGGAUAUUAAAAGGUGUGAAUGCAAAUAAUUCAAAUACAAGCAACGAAUUUGGGCUAAUGCAAAAUGUCUCCGCACGAAAGUCAAAGUAACUUUAGUUUAAAAGACUUCGUCAGCAGACUGGAUUAGGUUAAGAGUGGAAUUUAGAAGUGUUACUAUUUUUAUAAACAGUAAUUUGUCAUCUGACACACAAAAUUUGGUUUUGAUGAUCUACAUUUUAUUGUAAAUUUUUUAAUUUACUAUCGUUAAAACUUUUAAUAUGUUUAAAAUGAGGAAUCUUAUAAAUAUGAUGUACGAAAAUCGCCGAACAGAUCCUGUGAUCUCGGAGAAAUUAGAUACAUAUGUUUGCUGUUUGUUGAUAACGCUCCUUUGUUAAAGCACCCAUUUGGUGUAACUUCCUAUUUAUAGAUAGAUUUUGUAUUUUAUUGUUAUUAAUCUAUUACCUGUACUAUUUUUUUUUUGUUAAUAAAACGAAAAAAUUGUCCAAA